AUGCUGUGAUGACCUGAAUUUCUUCACCUGAACUUCUGUGAUGGUUAUUGAGCUUUUUAACCCUGAGCUUU
This 71-nucleotide small nucleolar RNA is filed under the name Gouania willdenowi (blunt-snouted clingfish). The record is from RNAcentral. Lineage: Eukaryota; Metazoa; Chordata; Actinopteri; Blenniiformes; Gobiesocidae.